GACCUGCCCAGAAUGAGGCCUGAUAAUGUACCAUAUCUCUCUGGGUUGCAAGUCAAGGUUUACAAAUAUACAAAUUGAAAUAUCUCAACAUGAGAGAAGAGAGCCUGGAAGAAGUUGCCAGCCCUGUCACUUCCCUGAACGGCAAAAUGUGGUCUCUCACUUCCUUAAUCCACAUUCAUUCCUCGGGCCCUCCUGUCUCUUAUAUCCAGCAGCAGUCAUGACAUGCCUAGAGGAUGGAAUCUUGCCAACAAUUUCACUGAUGGGAUUGCAUCUCACCAUCUUUCUAAACCCGUCAGGGUGAACAAUGGAAAAUACAUAUUUUGCUAUGCCAGGAAUCAACAAUGCUUAAGACCUAUUAUGAAGUUUUCAAGGUGUUCAAGAUGGAGGCGUGAUUACACAACUAGCCAAGUGCAUAGCCCAGUAAAGAUCAAGAGGCAAAAUCCAAGCACUGCUCUGGACGCCAUUACCUCCACUAGGAGCUCCACGUGGAUGCUGAGCUCUGAGUGGAAGGGCUUGGGCCACCAGGAGAUAUAAAGGUGUGCAACUCCCCAGCAUCACAAGGGCUAUGAAUCUCCCAGACUUUGACCUGUUCCAGGGAUUCCCUGGCUCCCCAGAGAGCUACAUCAGGAGUCAACAACUCUGAAGAGCAUCAUGUGACCUAUUAUGUUUUUUGGGUGUUUAAAAUGGAGGGUCGCUGAUCCCUGAUUCAAAUGUGAAGGGCGGCAGGGCCGUAUAGCGGCAGCUGUAGUUGCCUGCAUGUUGGGGACCGACGAAGAGCAGCUUCAGCUCCACGGGCUCACUGGAAGAAGAUCCUGAGAAUGGCGGUGCCUGUUCCAUGUAGAUACAGCUGUAGUUUCCAGAGUCUAUUGUUGAGAUAUUGUGCAGCUCAAAGACUGCUUCGGUCCCAGACGAAUUCAGCAUUUGCACCACAACUAAUUCCGGUUUGCCCUGGCGUUGCAGGCCAAAGCGCAGGCCGGAUACGGGUGCAGUACAUCGAAGCUGCACCGUUGAACCAGGCUCAAGGUCCCUACUCGAUGGCUCUGCAGAGUAGCAAAACUACCUUGAUACUUUCAGAAGAGGCGGCAGUAAAGUUGCAAAGAACUCUCAUCUCUAAUUGGGUACAGAAGAAAGAUGAAAAUAGAAUUUGACAUUUUUGAUAUGAGGUCUGAACAGCAGAUGCAGGAUGAUACAGAACCAGGAAUCAAAAGAGCUGAGAGAAACUUCUCACUGCAACAGGAUGGUAAUGAGUGUUCCCAGUUAAUACAGAGACUUAUAACUGGUAAAAUUGUUGAGAAUAAAGGACAUAUUGAAAUGCUUGAUGUGCCAACUGGUGGACAGUCAUGAAUAUGACUCACAAACUGCCUUGCAUCUAGCCAGCACUAUUAACAGAGAAUUAUUAAGAAUACUGCUUCUUCUGAUAGGUAUGUUGUUAAACACUAACUCUCUCAGUGGCCUUCAUGGUACAAGCUUGGAGUUAAGAAUACUAAGAGAUAUGCUUAGAUGUAGGACACUUGAAGUAUACACACACACACACACACACACACACACA
This 1549-nucleotide long non-coding RNA is filed under the name Mus musculus (house mouse). Its description in RNAcentral is "RIKEN cDNA 4930402D18 gene". The record is from RNAcentral. Lineage: Eukaryota; Metazoa; Chordata; Mammalia; Rodentia; Muridae.